UGGGGAAUUUUGGACCAUGGGCGCAAGCCUGAUCCAGCCAUGCCGCGUGAGUGAAGAAGGCCUUCGGGUUGUAAAGCUCUUUCGGUGGGGAAGAAAUGGUUUCGGUUAAUACCCGGAACUGAUGACGGUACCCGCAUAAGAAGCACCGGCUAACUACGUGCCAGCAGCCUCGGUAAUACGUAGGGUGCGAGCGUUAAUCGGAAUUACUGGGCGUAAAGCGUGCGCAGGCGGUUGUAUAAGUCAGAUGUGAAAUCCCCGGGCUCAACCUGGGAACUGCAUUUGAGACUGUGCGGCGAGAGUGUGGCAGAGGGGGGUAGAAUACCACGUGUAGCAGUGAAAUGCGUAGAGAUGUGGAGGAAUACCGAUGGCGAAGGCAGCCCCCUGGGCCAAUACUGACGCUCAUGCACGAAAGCGUGGGGAGCAAACA
This 427-nucleotide ribosomal RNA is filed under the name uncultured bacterium. RNAcentral's name for it is "bacterial SSU rRNA". It matches the Rfam family "Bacterial small subunit ribosomal RNA", at positions 355 to 774 of the family's 1533-position model. The record is from RNAcentral.